UGGGGAAUAUUGGACAAUGGGGGAACCCUGAUCCAGCCAUGCCGCGUGUGUGAAGAAGGCCUUAUGGUUGUAAAGCACUUUAAGCGAGGAGGAGGCUACUGAGACUAAUACUCUUGGAUAGUGGACGUUACUCGCAGAAUAAGCACCGGCUAACUCUGUGCCAGCAGCCGCGGUAAUACAGAGGGUGCGAGCGUUAAUCGGAUUUACUGGGCGUAAAGCGUGCGUAGGCGGCUUUUUAAGUCGGAUGUGAAAUCCCCGAGCUUAACUUGGGAAUUGCAUUCGAUACUGGGAAGCUAGAGUAUGGGAGAGGAUGGUAGAAUUCCAGGUGUAGCGGUGAAAUGCGUAGAGAUCUGGAGGAAUACCGAUGGCGAAGGCAGCCAUCUGGCCUAAUACUGACGCUGAGGUACGAAAAGCAUGGGGAGCAAAACAGGAUUAGAUACCCUGGUAGUCCAUGCCGUAAAACGAUGUCUACUAGCCGUUGGGGCCUUUGAGGCUUUAGUGGCGCAGCUAAACGCGAUAAAGUAGACCGCCUGGGGAGUACGGUUGC
Molecule: ribosomal RNA, 547 nt
Filed under: uncultured bacterium
Lineage: Bacteria
Description: partial 16S ribosomal RNA
Rfam family: Bacterial small subunit ribosomal RNA
Source: RNAcentral